GGGGUUGUGCUUAUUAGUAGAGUACUUGCCUAACAUGCAUGAAGUCCUGGGUUCAAUUCCCAGUAACACAG
Molecule: transfer RNA, 71 nt
Filed under: Fukomys damarensis (Damara mole-rat)
Lineage: Eukaryota; Metazoa; Chordata; Mammalia; Rodentia; Bathyergidae
Rfam family: tRNA
About the family: Transfer RNA (tRNA) molecules are approximately 80 nucleotides in length. Their secondary structure includes four short double-helical elements and three loops (D, anti-codon, and T loops).
Source: Rfam by way of RNAcentral